GUUCACAAAAUGAAGGGAGCCGGCGGGAACAUUACGGUUUUACGUUGUGAUGGUGUUGUCGGUCGGUAAUGGCAUUGGUGGGCUAGGUGGGCGUGGUGAUGGCUGAUAGGUUGUGAAUACGCUGACGGUGGCGAUGGGAAGGACAGAAUAUGGCGACAUAGGGCUUGGGCGGCUGCGGAUGCUUAGUAUUAGUUAGUAUUAGUUAG
Molecule: long non-coding RNA, 206 nt
Filed under: Volvox carteri
Lineage: Eukaryota; Viridiplantae; Chlorophyta; Chlorophyceae; Chlamydomonadales; Volvocaceae
Description: long non-coding RNA (VCAR_LNC002383)
Source: RNAcentral